GAGUGGCGGACGGGUGAGUAACACGUGGGUAACCUGCCCUUAAGUGGGGGAUAACAUUUGGAAACAGAUGCUAAUACCGCAUAGAUCCAAGAACCGCAUGGUUCUUGGCUGAAAGAUGGCGUAAGCUAUCGCUUUUGGAUGGACCCGCGGCGUAUUAGCUAGUUGGUGAGGUAAUGGCUCACCAAGGCGAUGAUACGUAGCCGAACUGAGAGGUUGAUCGGCCACAUUGGGACUGAGACACGGCCCAAACUCCUACGGGAGGCAGCAGUAGGGAAUCUUCCACAAUGGACGCAAGUCUGAUGGAGCAACGCCGCGUGAGUGAAGAAGGCUUUCGGGUCGUAAAACUCUGUUGUUGGAGAAGAAUGGUCGGCAGAGUAACUGUUGCCGGCGUGACGGUAUCCAACCAGAAAGCCACGGCUAACUACGUGCCAGCAGCCGCGGUAAUACGUAGGUGGCAAGCGUUAUCCGGAUUUAUUGGGCGUAAAGCGAGCGCAGGCGGUUUUUUAAGUCUGAUGUGAAAGCCCUCGGCUUAACCGAGGAAGCGCAUCGGAAACUGGGAAACUUGAGUGCAGAAGAGGACAGUGGAACUCCAUGUGUAGCGGUGAAAUGCGUAGAUAUAUGGAAGAACACCAGUGGCGAAGGCGGCUGUCUGGUCUGUAACUGACGCUGAGGCUCGAAAGCAUGGGUAGCGAACAGGAUUACAUACCCUGGUAGUCCAUGCCGUAAA
This 727-nucleotide ribosomal RNA is filed under the name uncultured bacterium. RNAcentral's name for it is "bacterial SSU rRNA". It matches the Rfam family "Bacterial small subunit ribosomal RNA", at positions 93 to 806 of the family's 1533-position model. The record is from RNAcentral.